Molecule: ribosomal RNA, 460 nt
Filed under: uncultured bacterium
Lineage: Bacteria
Description: partial 16S ribosomal RNA
Rfam family: Bacterial small subunit ribosomal RNA
Source: RNAcentral
CCUACGUGAGACAGCAGUGAGGAAUAUUGGUCAAUGGGCGCGAGCCUGAACCAGCCAAGUAGCGUGAAGGAUGACUGCCCUACGGGUUGUAAACUUCUUUUAUAAAGGAAUAAAGUGAGGCACGUGUGCCUUUUUGUAUGUACUUUAUGAAUAAGGAUCGGCUAACUCCGUGCCAGCAGCCGCGGUAAUACGGAGGAUCCGAGCGUUAUCCGGAUUUAUUGGGUUUAAAGGGAGCGUAGAUGGGUUGUUAAGUCAGUGGUGAAAGUUUGCGGCUCAACCGUAAAAUUGCAAUUGAUACUGGCAGUCUUGAGUACAGUUGAGGUAGGCGGAAUUCGUGGUGUAGCGGUGAAAUGCUUAGAUAUCACGAAGAACUCCGAUUGCGAAGGCAGCUUACUAAACUGCCACUGACAUUGAUGCUCGAAAGUGUGGGUAUCAAACAGGAUUAGAUACCCCUGUAGUC